CGGGCCGAUAAUGAAUAUUGCCCCAAGCUCACUCGUUUCCGCGGCCUAAUUAUUCAUAUCUAUAUUUUCCGAAGCAAUGUUAGAUUCGCUUUUGAACACUGCGAUACUCUAUAUAAAUUGAGAGCGCUCACAAACGGAUUCAUAAUAAAUUCAGCAAGAAAAGGAGAUACUAAAGUUUAAUAAGAACUAGUGGAAAACGAUGUACUUAUUAUAUUUUUGUUUGGUGUUAGCUUUGUCUUCUGCAGGUUGUUCUUCGGAAAGUGGUGACAGUGACCCAAAAGUUAUUCAUGCACCAGGAGCUCAACCUAAAUCUUGUAUUUUGCUCUACUGUAGACAAAGCUGCCACCGGCAAAAUUUCCGCGGCGGUUAUUGCGAUGUGGAUGGACUCUGCAAAUGUAAAGAUCAAAUCGUCCCCCCUCAUUGACCACUAGUAUCGUAUACUGUUCAUAACAACAAAAGUAAAUAAUGUAGGCCCGAAAUUGUUUGAGUUAUAACGUGGAAGGUGUCUCAAUUAACUUAACGCGAAAAGUUGCUUAGUUUAUUAUAUCUGCUGCGAAUAAAUAUAUUUAUGAAGUUAA
Long non-coding RNA from Hermetia illucens (black soldier fly), 578 nucleotides. RefSeq lists it as uncharacterized. The record is from RefSeq and is a predicted model, not a curated record. Lineage: Eukaryota; Metazoa; Arthropoda; Insecta; Diptera; Stratiomyidae. The transcript is spliced from 2 exons.